Molecule: ribosomal RNA, 253 nt
Filed under: uncultured bacterium
Lineage: Bacteria
Description: partial 16S ribosomal RNA
Rfam family: Bacterial small subunit ribosomal RNA
Source: RNAcentral
GACAGAGGUGCCAAGCGUUAGGCGGAAUCACUGGGCUUAAAGCGUGUGUAGGCGGGUCGUUAAGUACCUUGUGAAAUCCCAUGGCUCAACCAUGGAACUGCUGGGUAUACUGGCGAUCUUGUGCAACCUAGGGGCGAGCGGAACAGAUGGUGGAGCGGUGAAAUGCGUAGAUAUCCGGAGGAACACCGGUGGCGAAGGCGGCUUCCUGGAUCGACACUGACGCUGAGGUGCGAAAGCUAGGGGAGCAAACGGG